Molecule: ribosomal RNA, 500 nt
Filed under: uncultured Glomeromycotina
Lineage: Eukaryota; Fungi; Glomeromycota
Description: partial small subunit ribosomal RNA
Rfam family: Eukaryotic small subunit ribosomal RNA
Source: RNAcentral
CCAAUAGCGUAUAUUAAAGUUGUUGCAGUUAAAAAGCUCGUAGUUGAAUUUCGGGAUCAGCAUGUCGGUCGUGCCUCUGGUACGUACUGGUAUCGUUGAUUUCUACCUUCUGACGAGCUGUGAUGUCAUUAAUUUGGUGUCAUGGGAAAUCAGGACUGUUACUUUGAAAAAAUUAGAGUGUUUAAAGCAGGCACACGCUUGAAUACAUUAGCAUGGAAUAAUGAAAUAGGACGUUUGACCCUAUUUUGUUGGUUUCUAGGAUCGACGUAAUGAUUAAUAGGGAUGGUUGGGGGCAUUAGUAUUCAAUUGUCAGAGGUGAAAUUCUUGGAUUUAUUGAAGACUGACUACUGCGAAAGCAUUUGCCAAGGAUGUUUUCAUUAAUCAAGAACGAAAGUUAGGGGAUCGAAGACGAUCAGAUACCGUCGUAGUCUUAACCAUAAACUAUGCCGACUAGGGAUCGGAUGAUGUUAAUUUUUUAAUGACUCAUUCGGCGCCUUACG